This 253-nucleotide ribosomal RNA is filed under the name uncultured bacterium. Its description in RNAcentral is "partial 16S ribosomal RNA". It matches the Rfam family "Bacterial small subunit ribosomal RNA", at positions 524 to 776 of the family's 1533-position model. The record is from RNAcentral.
UACAGAGGUCUCAAGCGUUGUUCGGAUUCAUUGGGCGUAAAGGGUGCGUAGGCGGCGCGGUAAGUCGGGUGUGAAAUCUCGGAGCUUAACUCCGAAACUGCAUUCGAUACUGCCGUGCUUGAGGACUGGAGAGGAGACUGGAAUUUACGGUGUAGCGGUGAAAUGCGUAGAUAUCGUAAGGAAGACCAGUGGCGAAGGCGAGUCUCUGGACAGUUACUGACGCUGAGGCACGAAGGCCAGGGGAGCAAACGGG